Molecule: long non-coding RNA, 6534 nt
Organism: Lolium rigidum
Lineage: Eukaryota; Viridiplantae; Streptophyta; Magnoliopsida; Poales; Poaceae
Exons: 7
Source: RefSeq, a predicted model, not a curated record
UAAAAGUAGACUAUUUUUGAUGCUCAACAAACAAAAGAGCUCCACACAGACACAAUAUUUGGAGAGCAAAGACCGGCAUUGGCAUAUGAUUGUGAUAAAGCUUAAAGCCCAAAGUAGUCUUCUCCAAACACUGAUCUCUCUCAGCAUUUCCAAAAUGUGAAAUGAAGAGCCCAGUUAGCGGCCAUGUUAGUGGGGGUCUUGUAGUGUAAGUGUAAAAGCAAAUUCAACAUUGAGUAUUAACUGCAAAAAAACAUGUUAAAUUUUUCAUACCUCAACUGUUUGUGUAGAUCAGCAUGCUAUUUUCUUAGUGCACAAUGACAUUGGAUUGCGACCUUUUAUUCCUAAAAUAUCACAACUCAAUACGUUUAAUUAGAAAUCAGGUUUAUAAACUGCAGGUGAACUCCUAGAUCCAUGAUAUCAUGUGUAAAACUAUAGAUUGCAAGCAUGCCUUGUACUCCCUCCGGUUCAAAAUAAUUAUCCAAAAAUAGAUGUAUAUCUACACACUAAAACAAGUCUAGAUACAUCCAUUUUUGGGCAAUUAUUUUGAACCGGAGGGAGUAGUAUUUUAUAGUAAAUUGGAGUGGGUAUUGGUAGCAUUUUACUGCAGUGAUGCAGAUCGUAAAGGCUAAAGAGUACCCUGUCCUCGAUGGAAGUGUAUUAAUUUCCAUAGUGCUUCAUAAGAAAAAAAAAAGCAAAGCUACUUCAUGAUCUCAACAAUUUUGAUGUGACAAACCUCAAGGCAUUACUGCCUCAAGACGAUAUUGCCAACUCGUCCAUGUCCAUGCACGGCGUCAUGGCUGAUUUGCUCGUCAGCCGCUGCUGUUUGGUGUCCAAAGUACACGGCGAUGAAUGCGGGCCUAGGCGACAAGAACCCCCCGCCUUUCUUCAGCACGAUUGUACAUGUCUAUUAGACAAUUACGAUUACCAUGGUGCUAGCCGGAGCGGGUAUAUCAUGUCGGGUGCGCUAAAAGGGCAGAUAAUCUCAACUUCUCAUGUUGAGUUUGAGACCGUAGAGUGAUGGUGGAGGCGAUGAUCUUGAAUUUGGGAAGACGAUGAUUCAUAGCUCGUUGCGCGAAUAUAGUUUCAUUUGCAUGGCGAUUUUUAUGUUGGAACUGUGGGAGUGCUUACUGUGUGCCUUAUGAUCAGUGCGUUGCAGCAGAGGCUGUAUUUCUUCUGUUGCGAGUUGCUAAUCAUUUUGGCAAGGCAUUUUUUCCUUUUUAUUUAUUUAUAUCCUUUUGACUGUGUGCAUCUUUGAUGUCUCAACUAGUUCUUGAUAUCAUGUUGUUUCAGAGGCCGGAUGUAAUUGGCAUCUUUUGGAUAUUAAUAUAUUCCUUUUAUCGAAAAAGAUAUGCUAGAAGAUAUUUCGUAAUGACUCAUCUUAGCAACAUACUAAAGUGUGCAAAUAUGCUAGGAAUAGUAAAUUGUAAAAGAACCAGAACAGCGGUUAACAUGAAAAACCAAUGGCUGGGUAGGCCAUGAACAUGAAUAAUGCUACUGGGGGAGCACAAAUGGUACCUCAACAACUACCUGAGAGCAGAGAAGCAUCAAAGCAAAUAAGUGAUUAUAUGACCGUCAGCCGUGCACCUUCAAUGCCUGUCUGUUGCCAGAUUUUUUAUCGUUACCAUUCAACUAUAUUUCCACUUCGCCUGUACAGUUGGGCUCCAAGCCGUACAUUUGUCGGAUAUUUUUAAGCAGUACAUACAGAAAAGUAAGCCAUGUAUACAUUGAAACCUAUAUCUUCGCAGUUCAUACAUAUUCUUUGUUAAUUUAAUUGGUUUACCGCACAUCUUGGAUAGAUCUAUUUUCAAAGUGUCUGGUGCUAAUAGAUUCAAUUUUUUUUCUUCUGUUGAGCAACUGAUACCAAUUCUAUUCUGCUGUUGAUACUUCCAGGGCUGCUUUUUUUUCGUCAGUAAAAGACUUCUAUUACAAAUUUACAAUAAUAACAAAUGAUACAAACUGCAGAGAAAGUGCCUAAGAGCCUCUAUUGAUAAUAAUAUCACACACGGCCAUUACGUUGUGCUAUGUAUCAGGAUUACACAGAAAAUACACUGACCUUUUUGUUUACUCAAGCAAACACAUGGUUUAAAUUUGUGUACAUGGAGUGCAAUACCUAUUCUGUAUUGUGCUACGGUUCUACUACUUUUAGUACCUGUGUGUCUAUCGCCUUUGGAAAUUGAGCUUUGAGAUAUUGUAUCCAAAGAGGACGGCAAAGAGGAUGGGGAAUGCCGCCAGAGCUAUGGCUGACAGUGGCAGCAGGUCACGGCGAAAACCAAAGUAGUCCCUCAUGAAAACUGCAAUGGAUUUGGUCUCUCCAAAUACCAUGACCAUUCUGUCGGUGUCGUCCCCGAACUGUGUGGUGAAGAAGACAUUGAGCGUCCAUGACAUUGGAGAGAUAUAGUAGAGCCAUAUCCACCAUCUUGGUAUUUGCUGCCAUACGUUUAUGAGUUCUUGUAAAAUACCAUCCUUUUGGUCUCUAAAUCUAAUGGUAUAUAUUGUAGAGUAAAGAUGACUUGACUUACUGGUGCAGGCACGAUGAAGCCACACAUGAGGUUUUGUAGGGUAUAGAACAUGGAUGCAAGUAUGGAUGCGACUUGGAUGUUGGGGGUGAGUGACACCAUCAACAUUCCCAGGUAGAGGAAGUAGAGCAGCGUGCAAAACAUGGUAUACAUGAACCAAAAGAACUUCGCUGGUGUCCACGUGUACCCUACCAUCGGGUAUGAUAUCACCAUGAACAGCAGUACCUGCACCAGCACAUAAGGACCUGAGCAAAGGAGUAGGCCCAAGGUGAGUACAUCCCUGCAAACCUUUCCCGGUACACGACGGAGCGCUCAACGGAUACAAAUGGCAUCACCGAUUGGCAGUUGUUGAUGCCAGAGAACAGAGUGAUUCCAUACAUGCACCCCAAUAUGGUAAGGUACAUAAUUAAGAGAUGGCUUACAUACAUGCGGUUGAUGUUUCCUUGCUGCCAGAAUAAAACACCGAAGGAAAUGCAUGUGACUGUUAUGAACACCAUCCGCACCAGGUUGUAGGAAGGGGUUCUCCAAUAUGACAAAGACUGCUUCCAGAGGCAAGCUUUGAAUUGCUCCCAAAACUUCUGUGGGAACUGUGUUGGGAAAUGGAGGUCACUUGUACCUGGAACUGGAAGGUGAACAAAUUCUUCAUAAUAAUUUCAGGAUGAAGUCAUGUUUUGAACCCAGUGGAGGAGGAGCCCCACUGUUUUUUAUCUAGAAGGGGGAGACACCCAGAAUUCAUCUCCCUUGAGUUGAACCUGGGCGAGCUGCCUGCAAGAUGGCAGGGCUAGCCACACGAGCAGGCGCUCGGUCUCUGAAAGCUGAUUUCUGAUGUUCUUAUCCAAAAUAAUCACCUUAUAAAACUACAUAUACGAUGAAUCUACGCUAUAUUUAUUGCACUUGAAAACUACCAUUAAUAAGCAUAUAUUUUUGUGGCUGAGAGAGGGAAGCUUGGAGAAGGCUAUAUAUGUAAAGUAAUUACCUCAUCAAAUGCCUCAAAUAUCUCAAUACUUGGUUGGUGAAUGGUGCAUACAACUGUUCGGCCUGUGUCUGCAACGUUCUUCACUGCACGCAUGACGAUGGCAGCUGCCCUUGCAUCCAAACCUGAUGUUGGCUCAUCCAUGAAUAUGAUUGAAGGAUUAGAUACAAGCUCGACUGCAAUAGACUUCAUUGACAAAUUCCUGCGAGGGAAAGACAUGCAGUGAGCUCACAAUUUCAUGACAGCUGUCCCCAGAACCUAGGAUACAAGCAUACAAACCAUGGGAAGGCAUUCCUUUUCAUAAGGAGGAGCUCCCGCGCAAAACAUGCCUUGAGGAGAUCCAACUUGGAUAAUGAGUAGAUGCUGAAGGACAGGGCAUCCUUGUGUCCUUUUGAUUUGUCAUACGGCUUCAAAAGCUCCUCCGCAAGAUUCUGACCACUUGGAGAUGCUUUGAACUUGUCACAGAAUUGGUCAACUGUAACAAAAUUAUAUCUUUCUUUGGUACGGCUCCAGUAUUGCUGUUGAUCCUUUUUUGACAAGACCUAUAUACACACGAGUUUUGAAGAGUGAACUACCUUAUGAUGGUAAGCAAGUGUACUAAUAAGCAAGACAAAAUCAGGUACUCACAAUCUACAUUCAGUUAAUUCAUAUUAACAACAUUUAUUUUUACUGUAUGUGCAACAAAAUUAUAGGCGGCACUCUUAAUUUGCAAAAAUGUUGAAACUCAAAAGAUAUCACUAUAAGAGAAUUUAUAUUUGCACUGCUAUAGAUAUAUAAAAUCUCCAGUUGUGUUAUUUCAUAUUCGCCAAAUGAUGUGCAUGUGGCAAACAAAAUUUGACAUACCAGAUAGGCAUUCUGCCUCAUUUCACUGACAGAAAGAUCUGAUUAAAUUUAACAAGAACUAGAGAGGCACAAAUUUGAACAUCUGGUGCUGCAUGUAUUGAUGCUUACGUGAAGUGCAGGUUCCAUGCAUAGUGAAUUUAUUUUCCAUAUAUGGCUUAUUGGACGUUAUGCUAACAGAACCAUGCCUUACAUGAACUCCUAGAUGCUAUUGGUGAGCAAUUAGUUAGACUAGGUAAAUUAGUAUUUUGUUAAAUACCUCUUGAAGAAAGUCAGCGCCCCCUUUUCUUUCGGGACACUUAAAUCCACACGAUUCAAAGAAACUCAUAAUGCAAUCCUUACGGCCAUGGUAAACGAUUUGUCCUUCAGCCAUCAAGAUAAUAUCAUCAAAAAGGUCAUAAGUCUCUGGUGCUGGUUGAAGGAGUGAGACCAGUAUGGUAGACUCUGAUAUAUGAGCUAGCUGUUGGAGGCAAGAAACAAUUUGAAAGGUGGUCGAACUGUCCAGCCCAGUUGAUAUUUCAUCCAUGAAGAGUGCUUUUGAGGGCCCUACUAUCAUCUCUCCUGAUUGUAAUAAAUUUUUAGAAAUAAAAAGAAAAUAAGCAUCCAGCAUCGAAUUAUUUUAUUUUAUUUAUAUUAUAUAGACCAAAAUCGAGCUUAGGAUUAGACAAACUGAAUAUAUCACUUGAGUAGCUAAAAAAGAGGGAACGAGAGUCAUGCUAAGCUGAUUUUCCCAUCAGGAUGGCUUUCAUGCUUUCAUCACAAUGGAUUGUCUGAUUUACCCUUUCCCUGUUGUCAGCCUAGUUGUGACAAGAUUUUCAUAUUAGUUGGCCAUAAAAAAUUACUGAAAACAUUGACGAAAAAAUUGAAACUUGUAUAAUGUUCCAAUACGCAGUUAAGAAAUUUUAGUCAACGAGUUGAAUAAUUAUUUAAGUAUUUAUUAUGAAAAAAGUUCUUUCCAAAAUUAGAAUUUAGAUAGUAUAAAACCAGCCUGCAAAUGCAUAUGUUCUAAAAUCACCUGUGGUUAGUCUUUUCUUCUCACCGCCUGAAAUACCUCUUCUCAUGGCAUCUCCCACUAGUACAUCAGCGCAUAUGUCAAGUCCCAUGAUCUGUGAUGCAAGAAAGAGAUUACGCACAGGAGAAGUACUAUGCGCUGAGUCUAGAGAUUUUUUAUUAACAUCAAUUACCUUCAUAAUGUAAUCUGUUUGCAUGCUUCUUUCUAAACCUUCCACAGAUAUUGCCUAUAAAAAAGAUCACAGCUGAAAUUAAUUGGGCUGUGAGCACAUGAUGUUAUUUCUGUAAGAAUCAAUAGGAAACAUUCCCACUGAACAAUUAUGUUGGCAGAAAGGAUAGUGAUUUCAGUUUUCUUUUAAUGUUACCAGAGAAGAGGGUUCUGAUUCGCAAACUCAGAAAAUUUAAAAAAUUAUACCAAGAAAGGUUACCUUCAUGUACGUAUCUAUGUCGGGGUCAGGGGUGAUACCGGCCUCCUUCUCCCUUCUAAUGACUUCCUUCAUGAUUUCUGUUGUACACAAGAAAUUUAGAGCACUUGGUUUAGUGGUGAUGCUUCCCUGAAACUUCCUUCCAAAAAAAAGAAGUAUUUCUGAAACCAAGAUCCUUACGGCUUUGUGUUUAGUUACCUGCUCCAGGAAAAGAAGUAAACUUAGUUACCUGCUCUGCUGCCGACGCCCUGGAAUCUUGCAGAGAAGUCGAGCGUCUCCCUGACAGUCAUCUCAGGGACAUGAAGAUCAUACUGACCAAUAAAAAUAGAAGAUGGGGACAGGGAUACCUUGAGAUUUCUGUUGAGCUUUCCCGCAAGUGCUAGCAAGAGGGAUGUUUUUCCGCAGCCUGGGGGUCCAAGGAGUAGGGUCAUCCUGCAUGCACAUGUACGGAUUGAUUAUGAUAUACAUGUACAUGUACAUGGAAGGAAACCGCAAGAAGAUUAUGAUACAUGAACAUAUAUAUAGCAGAGGUCGGUUACCUGGAAGGUUUGAGGAUGCCGGUGACAUCUUUGAGGAUGUGGAUCCUUUCUUGGUUACGCUUGAAGCCCAGCAUGGUGGUGAGCAGCUGCAGAUAUCAGUGGAGGCAUUUAAGCGAACAGGCGGCAGUACAGAAUAGAAGUGUAGGCAGGUGAAUGACUUACAGAGAGCGUGGAUAUGGCGGAGUUGAGGAGCGUGGGCAGCGGCUUGCCGUCGACGACCUGGCACUCGG